AUUGAACGCUGGCGGCAGGCCUAACACAUGCAAGUCGAGCGGCAGCGGGAAAGUAGCUUGCUACUUUUGCCGGCGAGCGGCGGACGGGUGAGUAAUGCCUGGGGAUCUGCCCAGUCGAGGGGGAUAACAGUUGGAAACGACUGCUAAUACCGCAUACGCCCUACGGGGGAAAGGAGGGGACCUUCGGGCCUUUCGCGAUUGGAUGAACCCAGGUGGGAUUAGCUAGUUGGUGGGGUAAUGGCUCACCAAGGCGACGGUCCCUAGCUGGUCUGGGAGGAUGAUCAGCCACACUGGAAAUGGGACACGGUCCAGACUCCGACGGGAGGCAGCAGUGGGGAAUAUUGCACAAUGGGGGAAACCCUGAUGCAGCCAUGCCGCGUGUGUGAAGAAGGCCUUCGGGUUGUAAAGCACUUUCAGCGAGGAGGAAAGGUUGUUGGCUAAUACCCAGCAACUGUGACGUUACUCGCAGAAGAAGCACCGGCUAACUACGUGCCAGCCGCCGCGGUAA
RNAcentral lists this ribosomal RNA (508 nucleotides) under uncultured bacterium. RNAcentral describes it as "partial 16S ribosomal RNA". It matches the Rfam family "Bacterial small subunit ribosomal RNA", at positions 29 to 523 of the family's 1533-position model. The record is from RNAcentral.